Molecule: long non-coding RNA, 401 nt
Filed under: Olea europaea subsp. europaea
Lineage: Eukaryota; Viridiplantae; Streptophyta; Magnoliopsida; Lamiales; Oleaceae
Source: RNAcentral
UUCUUUUUUAAGUUUCAAGGACAAACUUCCGGUUGACCUACUUUGUUACGACUUAUCUUGAAUCAAGAGCGACGGGCGAUUUGUGCAUGCCUUAUUCCUAGUUCAAAAGAAGAUUCUUUCUUCCCUACUUUACUUUUAAGUCCGCUCUCAUAAAGUUUCUCAAUCUUAAUCCAGAGGUUUUCCUUGUGUAUCCCACUAAGCCCCUAAACAUUUGCUCUGUAUUGAUUUGUAUUAUCCCUUAGGUAAGAUUUUUAGCCCAUUCUUAGAAUCUAACUUUUACACAAUGAUAUAGAAGCUUAUAAUUCCGGUAGGAAUUAAUCGUGGGCUAUCUAUUACGGAGCAGGAUCCCCUAUUUAGACUAGGCACCGCCAAUUUCCGAACUUUCAUUUAUUUAAUUACUC